Molecule: ribosomal RNA, 352 nt
Filed under: uncultured bacterium
Lineage: Bacteria
Description: partial 16S ribosomal RNA
Rfam family: Bacterial small subunit ribosomal RNA
Source: RNAcentral
CCUACGGGUGGCAGCAGUGGGGAAUAUUGCACAAUGGGGGAAACCCUGAUGCAGCGACGCCGCGUGAGUGAAGAAGUAUUUCGGUAUGUAAAGCUCUAUCAGCAGGGAAGAAAAAAGACGGUACCUGACUAAGAAGCCCCGGCUAACUACGUGCCAGCAGCCGCGGUAAUACGUAGGGGGCAAGCGUUAUCCGGAUUUACUGGGUGAAAAGGGAGCGUAGACGGAGAAGCAAGUCUGAAGUGAAAGCCCGUGGCUUAACCACGGGACUGCUUUGGAAACUGUUUGACUAGAGUGCUGGAGGGGUAAGGGGAAUUCUAAGUGUAGCGGUGAAAUGGGUGAAUAUAAGGGGGAA